Molecule: ribosomal RNA, 438 nt
Filed under: uncultured bacterium
Lineage: Bacteria
Description: bacterial SSU rRNA
Rfam family: Bacterial small subunit ribosomal RNA
Source: RNAcentral
CCUACGGGGGGCAGCAGUGGGGAAUAUUGCACAAUGGGGGAAACCCUGAUGCAGCGACGCCGCGUGGGUGAAGAAGUAUUUCGGUAUGUAAAGCCCUAUCAGCAGGGAAGAAAAUGACGGUACCUGACUAAGAAGCCCCGGCUAACUACGUGCCAGCAGCCGCGGUAAUACGUAGGGGGCAAGCGUUAUCCGGAUUUACUGGGUGUAAAGGGAGCGUAGGUGGCGUGCCAAGUCAGGAGUGAAAACCCAGGGCCCAACCCUGGGACUGCUCUUGAAACUGGCAGGCUUGAGUGCUGGAGAGGUAAGCGGAAUUCCUAGUGUAGCGGUGAAAUGCGUAGAUAUUAGGAGGAACACCAGUGGCGAAGGCGGCUUACUGGACAGUGACUGACACUGAGGCUCGAAAGCGUGGGGAGCAAACAGGAUUAGAUACCCCAGUAG